RNAcentral lists this ribosomal RNA (450 nucleotides) under uncultured bacterium. Its description in RNAcentral is "bacterial SSU rRNA". It matches the Rfam family "Bacterial small subunit ribosomal RNA", at positions 354 to 796 of the family's 1533-position model. The record is from RNAcentral.
GUUAGGAAUAUUGGACAAUGGGCGCAAGCCUGAUCCAGCCAUGCCGCGUGUGUGAAGAAGGUCUUCGGAUUGUAAAGCACUUUAAGUUGGGAGGAAGGGCAGUAAGUUAAUACCUUGCUGUUUUGACGUUACCGACAGAAUAAGCACCGGCUAACUUCGUGCCAGCAGCCGCGGUAAUACGAAGGGUGCAAGCGUUAAUCGGAAUUACUGGGCGUAAAGCGCGCGUAGGUGGUUUUGUAAGUUGGAGGUGAAAUCCCCGGGCUCAACCUGGGAACUGCCUCCAAAACUGCAUGACUAGAGUACGGUAGAGGGUAGUGGAAUUUCCUGUGUAGCGGUGAAAUGCGUAGAUAUAGGAAGGAACACCAGUGGCGAAGGCGACUACCUGGACUGAUACUGACACUGAGGUGCGAAAGCGUGGGGAGCAAACAGGAUUAGAAACCCCGGUAGUCC